This 1197-nucleotide ribosomal RNA is filed under the name Uranoscopus scaber (stargazer). RNAcentral's name for it is "partial 16S ribosomal RNA". It matches the Rfam family "Bacterial large subunit ribosomal RNA", at positions 696 to 2542 of the family's 2925-position model. The record is from RNAcentral. Lineage: Eukaryota; Metazoa; Chordata; Actinopteri; Uranoscopiformes; Uranoscopidae.
AGAACUUUAGUUUGAUCCCCCGAAACUAGGUGAGCUACUCCAAGUCAGCCUAAUAAUAGGGCCAACCCGUCUCUGUGGCAAAAGAGUGGGAAGAACUUUGAGUAGGGGUGAUAGACCUAUCGAACCUAGUAAUAGCUGGUUGCCUGUUAAAUGAAUAAAAGUUCAGCCUCUUUGCUUCUUCAUUGGCUUUUCCCCAUAAAACAUAAUAAGAAGCCCAGAGAGUUAAUCAAAGGGGGAACAGCUCCUUUGAAAAAAGACACAACUUUUUCAGGUGGUUAAAGAUUAUACAAAACUAAGGUAGCAUGUUUUGGUGGGCCUAAAAGCAGCCACCCACAUAGAAAGCGUUAAAGCUCAAACAUACCUUUUACCAUACAUUCUAAUAAUUAAAUCUUACACCCCUAAAUUUACCAGGCCGACCUAUGCAAACAUAGGUGUGACCAUGCUAACAUGAGUAAUAUGGGGGCAUAGGCCCCCUCCCUGCCACGUGUAAAUCGGAACGGACCUUCCACCGAACUUUAACGGACCCAAAUAAAGAGGGGACUGAAUAUUAAAUUAAACAACUAGAAAAUAUUCAACAGCAACCGUUAACCCUACACGGGUGUGCUAAAAGGAAAGACUAAAAGAAAAAGAAGGAACUCGGCAAACACUUUAAGCCUUCGCCUGGUUACCAAAAAACAUCGCCUUUUGGAAUCAAUAAAUAAGAGGGCCCACCUGGCCACUGGCUAUUAUGUUUAACGGGCCGGGGUAUUUUAACCGUGCGAAGGUAGCACAAUCACUUGUCCUUUAAAUGGGGACCUGUAUGAAUGGCACAACGAGGGCUUGACUGUCUCCUUUUGUAAGUCAAUGAAAUUGAUUUCCCCGUGCAGAAGCGGGGAUAAAACCAUAAGACGAGAAGACCCUGUGGAGCUUUAGACACUAAAACAGCCCAUGUUAUAAUGACCCCUUUACAAAGGAUUGAACUAAGUGGGCCUGUCUUGAUGUCUUGGGUUGGGGCGACCCCGAGGAAUAAAGUAACCCCGGGUGGACAGGGACAAUAAACCCUAAAACCAAGAGCCACCCCUCUAAUUAACAGAACUUCUGACCAAUUAGAUCCGGCAUGACCGAUUAACGGACCAAGUUACCCCAGGGAUAACAGCGCAAUCCCCUUUUAGAGCCCUUAUCGACAAGGGGGCUUACGACCUCGAUGUUGGAUCAGGA